GACGCUGGAGGUGGUUCCUGUCCCCAUGUGAUGGCUCUUGUUCCUCUUGGUGGCCCUCAUCCUCGUUCUUGUUCCUCCUGGUGGCCCUCAUCCUCAUUCUUGUCCCUCCUGGUGGCCCUCGGCCUCCCUCGGGGACGCUGGGGACCUGUCCCUGUCCCCACCCGCUGCCCCCGUCCCUCGUGGUGGCCCUUGUCCUCUCUCGGGGACAGCGGAGCUGGUUCGUGUCACUAUAAAGCUCCUUUGUCCCCCGUGACGUCCCUUGGCUCCUUCUUGGGCGCGUUGGGGACACCGGGGCCCCUUCUCGGGGAUGCCGGCGUGUCCCUUGUCCCCCCCCGGGGACAACGGGGUGUCCCUGGUGCCUCCUGGGGACGCCGAGGCUCCGUCUUGGGGACGCGGCGGUGUCCUGGUGCCCCUUGGGGACACCAAGACCCACCCUUGGGGACACGGAGGUGUCCUGGUGCCCCUUUGGGGACACUGGGGCUGGCUCUGGGGACAUUGGGGUGUCACCAUGUCCCUUGGGGACGUGGGAUGUCCCCAUGCCUCAUGGGGACACUGGGGCUGGUUCUGGGGACGUGGGGGUGUCCCCAUGCCCCUUGGGGACACCAAGGGACACCCUUGGGGACCUCGGGGUGGCUCUUGUUCCUCCUGGGGCCACCAACCUCCCCUCUUGGGGACACGGG
RNAcentral lists this long non-coding RNA (680 nucleotides) under Apteryx rowi (Okarito brown kiwi). RNAcentral's name for it is "lncRNA (ENSARWG00000009664.1)". Lineage: Eukaryota; Metazoa; Chordata; Aves; Apterygiformes; Apterygidae. The record is from RNAcentral.